Long non-coding RNA from Orcinus orca (killer whale), 1656 nucleotides. RefSeq lists it as uncharacterized. The transcript has 2 exons. NCBI's taxonomy places the organism in Eukaryota, Metazoa, Chordata, Mammalia, Artiodactyla, Delphinidae. The record is from RefSeq and is a predicted model, not a curated record.
CUAUUUGUUAUAAUCCAAGUAUAGUGUAGUGGCUAAAAGCACAGACUCCGGAACUAGUGCUGGAUGUAUAAUCCUGGGCAUGUUAUUUACCUCCUCUGUUUAUCUGUGCCUCUGUUUUCCCUGUUAAAUGAGGAUAAUAUAUUUCCUACUUCAUAGAGUGGUUGUAGGGAUUAAAUGAGUACGUGUCUACCUGAGAACAGUGCCAAGAGCACAGAAAGUUCACUGCCUGUGUUUGCUACUAUUGUUAUCAUUUCCUAUUUGUCACUUAUUAUUAUCAUUCAUCUCCCACCCCCAGACUCCAAGUUCCCCCAAGCCAGAGAUCUCCUAUCCCAGCCAAGCACCUGGCACAUAGGAAGCCUUUGAAAAAUCAUUGAACAAAUGAGAGCCUGGGCCAGCCCUGGGAUUGCAGCUCCACCCCAGUCCCGACAGACACAUCUCACUGAUGCUGACUCAGUUGUCAGGAACACAUGCUGACAAGGGGUCUGUGAGACUCCUGCUCAUACCUCGUUUGCCAGCUGCUGCAAUGCCAUCUUGAACGGCCCGCCUCCAAACAUGUUCGGCAUUGGUGUCUGCUCCAGUCUGGAAGAGAAAUGGAGCUCUCAAGACUCACUCAACUCAGUCUAAGACCAGCAGAGUCUGAAGAGAAGGAGAGAGAUAGGAGGUUUCAACAGGCCUGGCCAGGAGGCCUCCCACUCACCUCCCCAUCACCUCCACCAAUCCAACCGUUCCAAGAUCUCAAAGCACAAGUGGGGCUGUCCCUGUCUACCAAGCCCAAGGUAGGCACCCCCAGUCUCAUUGCACCUACCACACUGCAGACAAAUUAUCAGUUUCUUCCACUAACUGUUGAGUUCCUAGAGGAAAGGGACUGUCUGUAUGCCCAUCACUGGGCACAAAGUCUUGAACAUGGUAGAUAGUUAAAUAUUUAACUGAAUGAAUAUAAUUCCUCUUCCUACUCUGCAAGAAAACCGGCCAGAGGUAAGCUCUGCUGUUAUAGACCUGGACCCACAGCCAGCAGCCUUUAUUUGCCUUAGUUAUCUUGCCAGGGCAGUUGGAGAAUUUAGACAGUUCUUUUCCAGCUUGUGAGCUCUAACUUCAGGCCUGGACUUUGGACUAUUCCAGCUACCUAACCUAGCUUUUGUCUGCUGGCCCUUACUUGCCAUAAUGGAUAGAUCCUCUUCUGAUGUCUAACCCACUGUCCUUCCCGCAGCCCCCACGGGGGCUUCUCAGCCCAGCUUCAGGACAAGAAGCUUAGCUUCCUCACACUCAAAGUGGGAAAAUGCCAGGUCUUCCAGCCUGAGUCUGGCAAGGGAGCAGGGCCAGGAAUUGCUUACCGGCUGACAGCAGCUGCGAGGAUGCCAAUGCUUGUUUCCUUUGGAGGAGCUGAAGAAUGGCCUGGAGUCAUGUUUACUUGCAGCAUGAGGUCAAUUGCACCCUUCUCGGAGACUGAAACCCUGUAGGAGAGGGUCAGAGAGGGCCCUCCUGACCUCCUCCCACCCUGAAUGAUCCCAUAGGCCCCAGGCCCAUCUGUGCAGUGUCUGGUGGGCCAGGAGGUCAGCUUCAUGCUGCUUAACAAAAUGUACUCUAGAGGAGGAAGGGAAAGGGAAGCCCAGACCUGGUCGAAGAUCGGGGUGAUUAAAGCAAGAGGAGUAAAAUAAA